AUGGACAUCGCCAAAUUGUUUGACGAAUUCCAGUCGGAGACGGAUGCAGAGUCAGAGUCAGUGAUGGGUUCAGAUACCAAUGAGGGGAUGUCCAUUGUCAAAUCAGACAAGUUGAUAUUAGAUUCUGCAGAUCUCAUUCCCACCAGAUUAGAACAGUACUCGGUCCAGGAUCCUGAUCAUGAUGAGAUGGACAGAGGCAAACCAGGCACACUGUUAUCCAUGGAGGCCAAAGCCGCCGAGGCGGCGGCUCACGAAGCAUAUAGAUUUGCUUCAGAGAUCCGUUGCUGGGAAUCUGCAUGGAGCAAAACCUGCAAUUUCUUCACAGACACCACGGCGCUGAGUUCCAUGCAGUUUACACAUUACACACCUGGAAACAUGUCAUACCACCGUGUCGGCUCCACCCCGGAAACCUUGCAGAUCUUUUCCGUCAAACUCGCAAAGAUAGGUGGUGGUCUUGCGUGGCCAUUGUCUGUGUAUGGUGUGGUUGCCGCCCGUGACAUCGUGGAUCACAACCGCAACAUUCUCUUCUCUUGUAGUAGGAGCCAGGCCCAAGAACUGAGACAGGAUGAUCCCUUUUUGCACUUGAUUGGACCGUCUCGUGCAAUUGUAUUUAUGGACAUGGUUGACUUUGAAAUCCAACUAAAAGUAAAAGGUACAACAAAGUCUGAAGAUAAAGCAUUGAUCAGUUAUGUGUGCAAUUAUAAUGGAGGAUGUAGUCCUGGUGUAUCUACCUUAUGCAUUGAGAAAUUCUUCUGCACACUGGAGUUAUGCUUGCAGCGAAUUAGACGAACGGUCCAGGCUACUAUCUUGGGUGUUCAGGUAGUCAAAUAUGGCUCAUGGCCUUUUGAAUAUGGCGGCCGAGUUACUUGCUCCCCACCAUCAGAAGGGGAAAUGGUGUGCACUGAUAGUGGAGUCACUCCUAUUAUUAAUUUAGCAUCUAGCCAAAUUGUCCUGCUUGAGUCAAAAGGUAAAGCACUGCCGAAAGGUUUUCAUGGUUACAUAGUUCUGUCGAGGCAAGUUGUUUCUGUAGAAGCUGAAGGAGUGUUGGACCUUGCCCUGGAAGCCUACUCCAGAUCUGGUGAUACCACUACUGCACAAGGUCAUGUCCGUUUCUUGCCCAAAUUUUGCGGUAUAAGCCAGGAUAAAUGUUUUCUUGAUGAUGUCGAGGUAGUGAUUACUGUUGCUUGGUCCCUUGUUGCUACGAGCAAGCGGGAGGUGGUGUUAGAACGAGGUUUGUCUGAAUAUUGA
This 1248-nucleotide ribosomal RNA is filed under the name Triticum aestivum (bread wheat). RNAcentral describes it as "partial small subunit ribosomal RNA". Lineage: Eukaryota; Viridiplantae; Streptophyta; Magnoliopsida; Poales; Poaceae. The record is from RNAcentral.